This 472-nucleotide long non-coding RNA is filed under the name Astyanax mexicanus (Mexican tetra). Its description in RNAcentral is "lncRNA (ENSAMXG00005022325.1)". The record is from RNAcentral. Lineage: Eukaryota; Metazoa; Chordata; Actinopteri; Characiformes; Acestrorhamphidae.
CACACACACAAACACACACACACUCACUAUCACUCUCUAUCUCUGGUUCACAGUUUGAGUUACAGUGAUGAGGGCUGGCAGGCCUACAGAGGGCAUGAAAAGAACCCUCCUUCAGCAGCCGAGUGGAGGACUCGCUUAAUGCCCGAGGAGCGUCAACACAGUCUUGGAAAACUUGCUCAGCUGGAGCACCACAGUCCAGUUCCAGUGUGCGUCUGCUAGCUGGGGGCAUCCGCACUUUCAAAGGGCAGGAGCUUUAUAAUGGAAAGGAAGGAGGCAGCAGGUGUUGUGAGGUGGCAGUAGGAGGCACUCGGGGGGCUGGAUCGUCUUGCUCUGAGAAUUUCCUGGCGUUGCUGUCGAUGUGGAGAGGAAAGACGGCUGGCUUAUUUCUGAGCACAGGUGACAGCCUGGCUUGGGAAGCGGCGAGGUGGUGUCGUUUACCUCUCUGCGAGACUGCUAGAUCCUACAGCAUUAC